This 253-nucleotide ribosomal RNA is filed under the name uncultured bacterium. RNAcentral's name for it is "partial 16S ribosomal RNA". It matches the Rfam family "Bacterial small subunit ribosomal RNA", at positions 524 to 776 of the family's 1533-position model. The record is from RNAcentral.
UACAGAGGUCCCAAGCGUUGUUCGGAUUCACUGGGCGUAAAGGGUGCGUAGGUGGUGAGGUAAGUCGGAUGUGAAAUCUCCGAGCUCAACUCGGAAAUGGCAUUGGAAACUACCUUGCUCGAGGGUUGGAGGGGGGACUGGAAUGCUUGGUGUAGCAGUGAAAUGCGUAGAUAUCAAGCGGAACACCAGUGGCGAAGGCGAGUCCCUGGACAACUCCUGACGCUGAGGCGCGAAAGCCAGGGGAGCAAACGGG